RNAcentral lists this long non-coding RNA (398 nucleotides) under Sus scrofa (pig). RNAcentral describes it as "lncRNA (ENSSSCG00015052339.1, ENSSSCG00035025201.1, ENSSSCG00040055967.1)". Lineage: Eukaryota; Metazoa; Chordata; Mammalia; Artiodactyla; Suidae. The record is from RNAcentral.
UGGGUACUGCUGCAUGGCGGAUCAUUCUUCCUCUCUCCCUCUCUCUCUCUGCCUAGUUGCCUGCCUGCAGAAAACUAAUGAAUCAUUUCUAGCUGAAUCCAGACAGUGCCAACACAUCGAUGCCCUUUCUCCCCCUCCCUUCCUCGCUCUCCUUCUCUCUCUCUCUCCCCUCUUCCCCCCUCCCCCUCUCUCCUCCCUCCCUGCUCCCUCCCUCCGGCCCCCAGUUUGUAAUCUGACACAGCAGACUGCAGCUGUGUCCGCGUUUAGAAAUGUCCCAUCAGACCUGAAGCCUGUGGGUCCAGAAGACACAUUUGAUCGGAUCCAACCUUUGGAAGAUCUGCUUGGAAAUUUCCCACUUCGUGUCCUGAGUCCAGGAACCCAGCAGUGGAAUUUUGUAG